GCAAAUUCCAUCUAGGUCACUCAUGUCCCUCAGCAUGAUUUGUGGAGUACCCAUCAACCGACUUUAUAGUCAUCCUGUUACGGACAAUGUUUGAACGGCAACUAAGUACUCUACUCCACAUCUAGGGUCCAUAGUGGUUUCAGGUCGAAGGGUGGUAUACACCAUUAUCACUAUCAGAAUAACUUAUGACAUUUUUCAUAACACACUAUGUAGUAUUCUCAUGGUGGGUCAAUCCAAUAUAAAUAUUACUCCUAAUAUUUAUAUCUAUGUGAAGACUUGAUAUCUCAUAUCCAUGACACGUGAGAUGAGGUCAUCAGUCUACUCACAUAAUAGUCUCUAUGUUUUACUGUUAUCCCACAUCACUGUAAAACUUGACUACG
This 380-nucleotide long non-coding RNA is filed under the name Trifolium pratense (red clover). Its description in RNAcentral is "long non-coding RNA (TPRA_LNC011477)". The record is from RNAcentral. Lineage: Eukaryota; Viridiplantae; Streptophyta; Magnoliopsida; Fabales; Fabaceae.